This is a long non-coding RNA of Ailuropoda melanoleuca (giant panda), 409 nucleotides long. RefSeq lists it as uncharacterized. The transcript is spliced from 3 exons. NCBI's taxonomy places the organism in Eukaryota, Metazoa, Chordata, Mammalia, Carnivora, Ursidae. The record is from RefSeq and is a predicted model, not a curated record.
UUGGUUCCUCCGCGUUGGAGAGGGCGGGGAUAUGAGGCGGGGCCGACUGACAAGGGGGGUGGGGAGACAAAGGUCCUUGUGGAUGGGUGGGGUGGGAGACAGGAGGGGGAAGCUUUUUUUCCUCUUAAAGGGGCAGGACUUAUAUCCGGGAUUGUGGGGUUACGGCCAAAAAAAGUUUGGGAAGAUGGUUUUGUUGGGGCACCUGGCUGACUCAGUUGGUAGACCUUGCGACACUUGAUCUUGCGGUGGCGAGAACCGAAGUUUGGAGGUAGACGAGCAGGCGAGCGGUUUGCCCGGGCGCAGAGCAUGAAGGCCGGGCGGGCGCGGGGAGCGGGCGCCCGCCGCCCGGCGCGGGGGUGAGCGAGAGAGAGAGCGGAGCGCGUGUGGCCGGCGCCGCUCGGCCGGGAGC